GAUGAACGCUAGCUACAGGCUUAACACAUGCAAGUCGAGGGGAAACGAUAUUGGAAGCUUGCUUCUGAUAGGCGUCGACCGGCGCACGGGUGAGUAACGCGUAUCCAACCUGCCCAUCACUUGGGGAUAACCUUGCGAAAGUAAGACUAAUACCCAAUGGCGUCUCUAGAAGACAUCUGAAAGAGAUUAAAGAUUUAUCGGUGAUGGAUGGGGAUGCGUCUGAUUAGCUUGUUGGCGGGGUAACGGCCCACCAAGGCGACGAUCAGUAGGGGUUCUGAGAGGAAGGUCCCCCCACAUUGGAACUGAGACACGGUCCAAACUCCUACGGGAGGCAGCAGUGAGGAAUAUUGGUCAAUGGACGAGAGUCUGAACCAGCCAAGUAGCGUGCAGGAUGACGGCCCUAUGGGUUGUAAACUGCUUUUAUAAGGGAAUAAAGUGGGAGUCGUGACUCUUUUUGCAUGUACCUUAUGAAUAAGGACCGGCUAAUUCCGUGCCAGCAGCCG
This 503-nucleotide ribosomal RNA is filed under the name uncultured bacterium. RNAcentral describes it as "bacterial SSU rRNA". It matches the Rfam family "Bacterial small subunit ribosomal RNA", at positions 28 to 517 of the family's 1533-position model. The record is from RNAcentral.